AGAGUGAACGCUGGCGGUAGGCCUAACACAUGCAAGUCGAACGGCAGCACAGUAGGAGCUUGCUCUUACGGGUGGCGAGUGGCGGACGGGUGAGGAAUACAUCGGAAUCUACCUUUUGGUGGGGGAUAACGUAGGGAAACUUACGCUAAUACCGCAUACGCCCUUCGGGGGAAAGCCGGGGACCAGCAAUGGCCUGGCGCUGAUAGAUGAGCCGAUGUCGGAUUAGCUAGUUGGUGAGGUAAUGGCUCACCAAGGCGACGAUCCGUAGCUGGUCUGAGAGGAUGAUCAGCCACACUGGAACUGACGACACGGUCCAGACUCCGUACGGGAGCAGCA
Molecule: ribosomal RNA, 336 nt
Filed under: uncultured soil bacterium
Lineage: Bacteria
Description: bacterial SSU rRNA
Rfam family: Bacterial small subunit ribosomal RNA
Source: RNAcentral